Molecule: long non-coding RNA, 890 nt
Organism: Carcharodon carcharias (great white shark)
Lineage: Eukaryota; Metazoa; Chordata; Chondrichthyes; Lamniformes; Lamnidae
Exons: 3
Source: RefSeq, a predicted model, not a curated record
AUUUUACAAAGACCCUCUCUAGCCGGAGGUUCUCAGUGUGUAAAGAUACACCGGGAAAUGUCGCCUGGUUUUCGGUGUGAGGGGCUGUACGGGAAUGUGGGUUCAUUCAGGAACUGCAAAUACUUGAAAGCAGCAGAAUAAAUGAUGUGAUUCUACAACACAAGGGGAAGUGCAGUCAGCUCCUCACACACAGCAAAUAAUGGAAGGAACCAGAAUAAACGUGGUGUUUCCUCCAGCCAAGCUCGAAUGAAGAUUCCCGCCAGCUCCUCCGACACAGUCCGUACAUUAUCACUGACAGAGCGCAGAGACACAGACAGGUCAUCAAUUUCACAGUCUCAGACAGCAGAAAUAGUUCCAGAGUCACACUUUCCAUCCAUCAAUCAAACAGUGCAGGAGAGAUAGAUGUUGUUCCAAUGUUACCUCGACUCAGUACCACAGACGGGUAGUCCAAAUUCUCACGCAUGAUCCAAUUUUCACCAGGUCAAUCCCACAAUAUUACAGCCUCAGCUACAAACUAAAUGUCAAAUAAAACUGAUGCAUGUUUCCAGUUUCAAGUUUCCAGUCUUAACCUUAAUAAUGUACACUGAGAUUCAUGUUAAGCACCGGUGCAAUAUUUACACACAUCAUUAGUUUAUAAAUUGCAGUAUUAAUUCCCACAUUGUGUCCUGACACAUACAUUAGAUGCAAAUCCAAAUCUCAAUUACAUUAUCAGUUUGAGAUAUUCUGAAAGUGAGUAUAACCUGAGAUACAAACUCAGACUCUAGUUAAAACUCACCCUGAUUAUGAAACUGAGAUACAAUAUUAAUUUGAUGGAUAUGAAUUGAGCUAUAAACUACAUGCUAAUUCUCAAUCCUCACACAGUGUCAAAUUAAAGAUACUUUACCAAUUCA